CCUACGGGAGGCAGCAGUGGGGAAUCUUGCGCAAUGGGCGAAAGCCUGACGCAGCAACGCCGCGUGCGGGAAGAAGGCUUUCGGGCUGUAAACCGCUUUCAGCAGGAACGAAAAUGACGGUACCUGCAGAAGAAGGAGCGGCCAACUAUGUGCCAGCAGCCGCGGUGAUACAUAGGCUUCAAGCGUUGUCCGGAUUUAUUGGGCGUAAAGAGUUCGUAGGCGGUCAAGUAAGUCGGGUGUGAAAAUUCUGGGCUCAACCCAGAGACGCCACCCGAUACUGCUUAACUUGAGUUCGAUAGGGGAGUGGGGAAUUCCUAGUGUAGCGGUGAAAUGCGCAGAUAUUAGGAGGAACACCGGUGGCGAAGGCGCCACUCUGGAUCGAUACUGACGCUGAGGAACGAAAGCAUGGGUAGCAAACAGGAUUAGAUACCCUGGUAGUCCAUGCCGUAAACGGUGGGCACUAGGUGUGGGUUUCUAUUAACGAAAUCCGCGCCGUCGCUAACGCAUUAAGUGCCCCGCCUGGGGAUACGGUCGCAAGACUAAAACUCAAAUGAAUUGACGG
RNAcentral lists this ribosomal RNA (562 nucleotides) under uncultured bacterium. RNAcentral describes it as "bacterial SSU rRNA". It matches the Rfam family "Bacterial small subunit ribosomal RNA", at positions 338 to 916 of the family's 1533-position model. The record is from RNAcentral.